RNAcentral lists this long non-coding RNA (15192 nucleotides) under Zostera marina. Its description in RNAcentral is "long non-coding RNA (ZMAR_LNC001162)". The stretch from base 2699 to 2770 matches the Rfam family "tRNA". Lineage: Eukaryota; Viridiplantae; Streptophyta; Magnoliopsida; Alismatales; Zosteraceae. The record is from RNAcentral.
UACUGCAAUACAAUGGUAAGAUUAGUGAGUUGUUUUUUAGGUUAAGACAAAUUUUAGCUACUUUAUAGGGUUUGGCCGUUAGACAUAAAUAAAUUAUAACUAAAAGACACAAUCAAUUAAACAGAUCUCGAUAUUGAUACAUUUAGUAUGAAUAAGAGUAUCAAAUUCGAGAUCCGUUGAACUGUUUGCAAUGAAUCAUCUCUUAUAAUAACUUUUAAAGAAAAAAUAUGAUCAUGAUAAUCAAAUUUCAAUCAUUUUAAUUAAUUUCAAUGCUUAUUGGACAUUUCCACCAACUUGCCAGGUUAUGUAAGUUUUAAAUACUUAAAAUCCUUAUGCAAUGCGUUGUAGUCCAAUAGUCAGUGAUAGGAAUUAAGAGGAGAUGAAUUGUAGAAGACAAUGGAAGAAUGAUUUGUGCAAUGGAACCAUGAUUUGUGCAAUGGAACCGUGGUUCAAUCCACUGGAUUCCUUAUCCUUUUAUAACAACAAAUAGAUCUCAACAACCCACACUUGUGAGCACUAACUAACUAAUUCUAUUUAACUAAUUACAGUUUUAUAUUUACACUAAUACACCCCUCAAUCCUGUGAGAAUGGUCUCACAAGAUUGAUUCGUUGUUGCGCAAAUCCUUUAGGUGAUAAUGCUUUAGUAAGCAAAUCCGCUUUUUGUAAUGUUCCCGGAAUAUGAGAUAUGUGUACCGAGCCUGCAUCAAUUCUUUCCCUAACAUACUUAAGAUCAAUCGCGACAUGCUUUAGUUUGGAGUGACAUGCCGAAUUUGUAGCUAGAAAAACCGCACCUCGAUUGUUUGACUUUAGUGCAAUUGGGAUUUUUACACCGACUCCCAAUUCCACUAGUAGAUUCUUGACCCACUCUAACUCUUGAAUAGUUGUGGCGAUGACUCUAUAUUCCGAUUCGGUGCUCAAACGUGAGACCGUACUUUGCUUACGAGAACUCAACGCAACCAAUGUAUUAUCGAUGUAUAUUAAAUAUCUCGUUUGACUUUUUCGAUCAAUUUUAUCUCCGGCCCAAUCGGCAUCGCAAUAUCAUGUAAUUGUGAAAUCGUUAACUUUCCCGAGUGUAAUACCCCAAGAUUGAGUACGCGAAAGGUAUCUAAGCACUUUCUUCAUAGCCGUCCAGUGGAGAGGCUUUGGGGAGGACAUGAAUUGCGACAACUUAUUAACUGCAAAUUGAAUGUCCGGUCUUGUCAACGUGAGAUAUUGAAGUGAGCCAACGAUACGUCGAUACUCUGUAACUUGUUCUAUCGGUGUUUCAUCGGAGUAGAGAUCUUGAUUGGUCAACAUAGGUGUAGUUGAUGGCUUCAUAUUGUCGGGAUUAAUUCCCUUGAGUAAAUUCACCAGGUAUUGAGUUUGGCACAGAUGUAAUCCAUCCUUUGCCUUUCUAACUUGAAUUCCCAAGAAGUACGAGAUGCACCCGAGCUUUCGUACUGCAAAUUCUUUACCUAGUCGAUCCAUUACUUUUUCCACGGUGGAUUCAUCAGAGCCGGUGAUAACGAUAUCAUCGACAUAUAUAAACAGAUAUGUCUUGCACUCAAUAGGAUUAGUCUUGUAUAAUAAAAAUAAUGAUGGAUCCGAGUAGCUUUGAAUAAACCCCAAUGUGAUCAGAAAUUGUCGAAGCCGUUUAAACCACAUCCUCAACGCUUGUUUUAAACCGUACAAAGCCUUAUUCAGUAGGCAAACGUGAUCUGGAAAAUUCUGAUCAAUAAAUCCCAUAGGCUGCUGUAUAAUGAUUCUUUCUUCGAUAUCCCCAUGCAAAAAUGCAUUGGAAAUAUCAAGUUGAGAGAGUUUCCACGAAUUCGAGACUGCGAUGGUAAGGACCAAUUGGAUAGUCAGGAUAAUUGGCUUCAAACAAUUGACCCAGGUUCGACAGAUCUACAAUGCAAUGGUCAAAUCAGUGAGUGUUAUUUAUCAGUUUGUGAACAAAUUUUUGAUGCUUUAUAGGGUUUGACAUGAAUGAAUUAUAACUAAAAGGCACACAAACAAUUUUUCAACAAAUGUAAAAAAAACUGAGAUAUACGAAGAUAUCUUUUAAAGAAAAAUUAUGAUUCUAACAAUCAGAUCUCAGUCAUUUCAAUUAUUUUCACCAAGUUAUGUAAGUUUUAAAUUCGCACAAGCAAUGCGUUUGUAGUCCAACGGUCAGGAUAAUUGCCUUCCAAGCAAUAGACCCAGGUUCGACUCCCGGCAAACGCAAAUGAUGAUAAUGCUUUCGUAUUUUUGAAUUUUGAAAUAAUAUUUCUAUAUGAUAUGGGAUAAUGCCAAAGACGUGAAAUUAUAUAUUUAUCAAUUGAUGUUUUCAUAUUUUUUGAAUUUGGAAACAAUAUUUCUAUAUGAUAUGUAAUAAUGCCAAAAACGUGAAAUAUAUAUAUUUAUCAAUUGAUGAAAGAAACCAUGUAUGAUACUGCAAAUAUGCAAUGCAAUGGUCAAAUCAGUGAGUGUUAUAUAUCAGUUUGUGAAUAAAUUUUUAAAUACUUUAUAGGGUUUGACAUGAAUAAAUUAAAACUAAAAAGUAGACAAACAAUUUUUCAAAAAAAUGUAACAAAACUGAGAUAUACGAAGAUAUCUUUUAAAGAAAAAUUAUGAUUCUAACAAUCAGAUUUCAGUCAUUUUAAUUAUUUUCAAUGCUUAUUGGGCAUUGCAACCAACUCACCAAGUCAUGUAAGUUUUAAAUUCAUAACACUCAAGCAAUGCGUUUGUAGUCCAACGGUCAGGAUAAUUGCCUUCCAAGCAAUAGACCCGGGUUCGACUCCCGGCAAACGCAUAUGAUAAUAUUGUUUUCAUAUUUUUGAAUUUGGAAACAAUAUUUCUAUAUGAUAUGUAAUAAAGUAAAAGACUAUGAUUUGUAAUAAAGUAAAAGACUAUGAUUUGUAAUAAAGUAAAAGACUAUGUCAGAUUGAAACUCAAGCCAUAACUCUAUGGGAGUCCAACCUCUUGAGGCACCAGUCCCUGGCUAGUUAGUCAUGGUCACAACUAUAUAAGAGAACGACAAUGCUCUUACAUGUUUUUACUUUAUAUCUAUAUCUUAUGUAUUUGCAUUUCCCUAAAAUAUGCAAUAUUGGGCUCUGCCCUACUCUAAAUUCAGCAAUGAAAGCUUAAAUCAAUAAAAAAAUAUUCUAUUGACAUAUUAUAUAUAUAUUUAUCAAUUGAUGAAAGAAACCAUAUAUGAUACUGUAAAUCUGCAAUGCAAUGGUCAGAUUAAUGAGUGUUAUUUAUUAGUCUGUGAACAAAUUUUUAGAUACUUUAUAGGGCUUGACAUGAAUAAAUUAUAACUAAAAAGCACACAAACUAUUUUUUAAAAAAUGUAACAAAACAGAGAUAUACGAAAACUUUUAAAGAAAAUUUAUUAUUUUAACAAUUAGAUUUCAGUCAUUUUAAUUAUUUUCAAUGCUUAUUGGGCAUUGCGACCAACUCGCCAAGUUAUGAAUUUUAAAUUCGCAACACUCUCAAGUAAUGCGUUUGUAGUCCAACGGUCAGGAUAAUUGCCUUCCAAGCAAUAGACCCGGGUUCGACUCCCGGCAAACGCAAAUGACAAUAAUGUUUUCAUAUUUUUUAAAUUUGGAAACAAUAUUUCUAUAUGAUAUGUAAUAAUGCCAAAGACGUGAAAUAUAUAUAUUUAUCAAUUGAUGAAAGAAACCAUAUAUGAUACUGCAAAUCUGUAACGCAAUGGUCAGAUCACUGAGUGUUAUCUAUCAGUCUAUGAACAAAUUUUUAGAUACUUUAUAGGGUUUGACAUGAAUAAAUUAUAACUAAAAAGCACACAAUUUUUCAAAAAAUGUAAAAAAACUGAGAUAUGCGACGAUAACUUUUAAAGAAAAAUUAUGAAUCUAAUAAUCAGUUUCAGUCAUUUCAAUUAUUUUCAAUGCUUAUUGGGCAUUGCGACCAACUCACCAAGUUAUGUAAGUUUUAAAUUCACAACACUCUCAAGCAAUGCGUUUGUAGUCCAACGGUCAGGAUAAUUGCCUUCCAAGCAAUAGACCCGGGUUCGACUCCCGGCAAACGCAGAUGAUAAUAAUGUUUUCAUGUUUUUUGAAUUUGGAAACAAUAUUUCUAUAUGAUAUGUAAUAAUGCCAAAGACGUGAAAUAUAUAUAUUUAUCAAUUGAUGAAAUAAACUAUAUAUGAUACUGCAAAUCUGCAAUGCAAUGGUCAGAUUAGUGAUUUUAUUUAUUUGUUUGUUAACAAAUUUGUAAAUACUUUAUAAGGUUUGACAUGAAUAAAUUAUAACUAAAAAGUAAACAAACAAUUUUUCAAAAAAUGUAACAAAACUGAGAUAUACGAUAACUUUUAAAGAAAAAUUAUGAUUUUAACAAUCAGAUUUCAGUCAUUUUAAUUAUUUUCAAUGCUUAUUGGGCGUUGUGACAACCACACCAAGUUAUGUAAGUUUUAAAUUCGCAAGACUCUCAAGCAAUGCGUUUGUAGUCCAACGGUCAGGAUAAUUGCCUUCCAAGCAAUAGACCCGGGUUCGACUCCCGGCAAACGCAAAUAAUAAUAUGGUUUCCUUUUAUUUUGAAUUUGAAAACAAAAUUUCUAUAUGAUAUGCAAAAAACGUGAAAUAGUUAUAUCUAUAUCUAUCUAUAUAUAAUAAUAUAGGGCAAGGAUCACAUCCCAUUGUUCUCGUAUAUUGAGUUCUCAUGUAUUUUUAACCAUCCAUGUGACUCGAGAUAAGCACACCUCGAGAUAUAUGGUAAAUAAGGAUAUGUUUGCAUAUCCUCCCAAACAAGGCACAUGGAUAGCUAGGAUCAUAUGUUCUCACUAGUUCUCAAUUUCUGAUCCAAUGAGUUCUCAUGUUUAUACUUCUAUAUAUCUUAGUUUUAUACUUCUAUAUAUACAUAUUUAUUCAUUGGAGAAAGAAACAAUUGCAAUGCAAUCGUGAGAUUCUUGGGGUAUUGCUUAGUUUAUGAACAAAUAUACAUGUGUUUCACAUAUAGAAGUUAAAAACAUUAACAUACAAACAAUUUUUCAAAUAAAAUACCAAAAUUGAAAUCAUUAUGAUUUUUUAAAGAAAAACUAAAAUCAUUCCAUUCAGAUUUUAGUUGUUUCGAUUUUUUAUUCUAAAGAAAUCAUGUGAGUAUGUGACUAUGUGGGUAUUUGCAUUCACAAAGCUCUCAAGCAAUGCGUUUGUAGUCCAACGGUCAGGAUAAUUGCCUUCCAAGCAAUAGACCCGAGUUCAACUUCCGGCAAACGCAAAUGAUAAUAUUGUUUUUUAUAUAUUUUAGUUAACUUGAAAAUAAUUUGAUUUCUAUAAGAUAUGCAAAAGACGUGUGAAAUAUACAUAUAUAUAUACACCAAAUAUCAGGCACGGUACCGUGCCUCACCGGUCACCGAACGGUACCGUGCCUGGAUACCGUUCAAUUCACGCGUUCAAAAUCAUGACCGUUCAUUUCAUAGAUCAAAAAAGCGGAAAGCGCUCCCAAUUUCCAGGGAGCGCUUUUUUAGCUUUAACCGCUUUAGCGACGCUUUAACCGCUUUAGCUUUAACCGCUUUUUUAGUUAUUUUAAUUAUUUCCAAUGCUUGUCGGGCAUUGCCACCAACUCGCCAAGUGACUAUGUAACAUGAAAUAUAAAGGGCAAGGAUUACAUGAGAACCAGUGUGUAUGUUCCCACUGUUUCUCAUCUAAUGAGUUCUCAUAUGAUCUUAAUCAUCGUCCUUGUAUUUCAAGAUAAGCACGCCUCAAGAUAUGUGGUGAACAAGAAUAUGUUUAUGCAUAUUCCAAAGCACAUGGAUAGUUAGAAUCACAUGCUCUCACUGAUUCUCAUCCAAAGAGUUUUCAUGUGAUCUUGGUUAAUAUAUAUAUUUAUUCAAUGGAGAAAGAAAUAAUUGCAAAUUUGCAAUGUAAUGGUGAGAUUUUUGAGGUAUUGCUUAGUUUAUGAACAAAGAUCGCAUAAAUAAUCAGCUACUUUUUGUCCUCCUUGGGGUCUACAUUGGUAUGCUUUAGGAGCCUUGGCACAUCUUAACUGAAAGAAGAGGAGAUUGUUGUAACAUACCACAACCUCCAGAAACCAUUUUGCAGGAAAUUAUCAGGGACAUUGGGCUUUCUUAUAGGCUGAGACCUUCAAGAAAGACUGUUGAUCCAAUAUGGAAGAGACUACGAUGCAUGUUUGGGAGACCAACCUCCUGGGACAAUACACCUAGUUAUAUCACUUAAAUCAAUGGAAAAGUAUCGAUAGGAUUGUUCCUAUCUCCCUUAAGUUUAUUUUUAUAGUGAUAUAGUCUACCUUUAUCUCUUUCUAUUUGUAAUUCAGGCUCUGCCCUUCAUUUUCAAUGAAAAUAUUUAACUCUUGAAUAAAAAACAGCUACUUUAACUGUGUUUGAUUAACGUGUACAAGUUAAAACUAAGAAGUUAAAAACUUACAAACAUUUUUUCAAACAAAAUACCAAAAUUGAAAUUACUGUCCUUUUUUAAUGAAAAACUAAUAUUAUGAGAUUCAGAUUUUAGUUGUUUCGAUUUUUUAUAUUUAAGAGGUCAUAUAUGAUUGUGUGAAUGUUUGAAUUCACAAACCUUCCAAGCAAUGCGUUUGUAGUCCAACGGUCAGGAUAAUUGCCUUCCAAGCAAUAGACCCGGGUUCGACUCCCGGCAAACGCAAAUGAUAAUAUUGUUUUUAUAUUUUGGUUAACAAGAUUUGCCAGACAUGUGAAACAUAUAUAUUUAUCUAUUAAUGAAAGAAAGCACAUGCAAUCUUGCAAUACAAUGGUCGAAUUCAUGAGGUAUUGCUUAGUUUAUGAACAAAUAUUCAGCUAUUUUAUAUUAUUAUAUGGGUGAUUAUUUUGGUUAACAGCAUAUGUCAAAGACAUGUGAAACAUAUAUAUUAUUAUAUUUAUCUAUUGACGAAACUUGAAAGUAACCACAUGUAAUCUUACAAUGCAAUGGUCGGGCAUAUGAGGUAUUGCUUGAUUUAUGAACAAAAAUAUUCAGCUACUUUAUAUUAUUAUAUGGGUGAUUAUUUUGGUUAACAAGAUAUGCCAAAGGCAUCUUAAAUAUUGAUGUCCAGAUGUCCUUGUAAAAAAAGCUUAUCGAUUUGAAGCUUUUUAUCAUUGUCAUGAAUCUUAUAAAAUUUAUGCAAAAAAUAGAAUAGAAAAAAUAAUCUGAUCCUAGGAGUCGAAUGGCUUUAAAUGUUGGGCCAAGUCUUAUUUAAUUAUCAAGCACAAACACUAUCAUACCUGAUAACCUCACCGAUGACCACCUACAAACUAUAAAAGGAAUCCUAAUCACAGAUAGCCCGGUCAAUCAAACAAAUUUGAUCCGAGGUAUGGUCAAUAAUGAUAUUCAAAAUCUUUUCUACAUCAAAAUUAAUUCAGUAUCCGACGGUCAACCUAGUUACACCAAAGACACAAAUCUCCAUCCAGCAGUUCAGAUUAUUUUGGAUACAUUUGCGGACUCCUUUGUAUCGCCCCAUGAAUUACCUCGACAACGACCAUCAAACCACCAUAUUACAUCUAGAUGCGGGACCGGUGAAAGUCCGACCUUACAAAUACAUGUUCUUUGAAAAACGAAAAUCACCAAACUAGUCGAACAUAUGAUGAAAGAAGGUAUCAUACAACCUGGUAAUUCUCCGUUUCACCUGGCACCUUUGAACUAUUUGAAGUAUCCUAUAGUUGUUCAGGCAGUUGAUGCACUUAUCUAUUAAAUCUUUGUUGGCUAUUAUAGUUUUCCACAUAUGGGAAUCUAGGGUGAGUCUAAUAUCAAUUUUCCCUAGUCCUCUACCUUUUAUAUAUCUAAGUCUGACACAAUCAGCUAGAAUAGAGGUGUUUGAACUCCACAUUUUUUCCACUUUUUUUUUUUUUGAGAAAUUAAAACUUUUAUUACUAAAAAAGAGGUUGGGCAAAGCCCAAGAUUACAGAAUAAUAUAGGGAAAUAUAAGUACAGUAAAUGUAAAAACAUUGUCUAUCUCUUAUGCAGCUAUGACCCUGACUAACUGGUCAAGGAUUGAAGCCACAAGAGGUUGAACUCCCAUGAGCGUAUAACUUGUAUUUCAAUCUGUGAGAGAUUGUGCUUUUUAUAGGAUGUAGAAUCAUAUGCAAUGCUCACAUCCUUUAUAAUUUCUCUGCUGACAAUUUCUGGGGGCCUUAGGGUGUGUUGUUUUAAUCUCCUGUUCCUUUCACACCAUAUGUACCAGGAAAAAGAUGCUAGCAUAGUCCAGUGUACCCCCCAACAACUGGACUUGUGGGUGAAUUUUUGUAUUGUUUCCAUAAUAUCUCCUAUCCUAAUAUCUAUUGCGGGAGAUAGGGGAUUUUGCCCACUAAGUGUCCAAACAGCAUUAUUAAGACAGCUAGUGAUCUCUAGCAAUAGGGAUUUAGUGUAAUGACAGUUAAAGUAUAGGUGUUGUAAUGUUUUUUCCUCAUUUCCACAUAGUGGGCAGGACGUAUUUAUGUUGAGUCCCCAGCUUUGCAGUCUAGUUAAAGUGUUCAGAUUUUUUACCUUAAUUCUCCACAACAACAUAGAAAAUUUAGGAGGCUUUUUGGCCCAGAUUCCUAGAUUUAUCUCUUGUAAGAUGCCUUUGGGCCUUAAUGUUUCUGAGUGUUUGGAGGGGGCAAUUUGUGUGACCCUAUAGUUACUCAAGCAGUUUAUACAUUUCCUUAUUAGCUAGUAUAGUUUUCCACAUGUGAGAGUCCAGAGUGGGUCUACACUCUAUCUCCCCAAUGCUUCUUCCUUUGAUGUACCUAAUUUUUAUCCAGUCUGCUAGUAUGGAGUUAUUAGGACUCCACAUCCUCUCUGUUCUUUUAACCAAAGCUGAAGCAUUAGUUGCAAAGAAAUUCCUGACCCCUAUUCUGCCUUCGCUCUUUGGGAGUACUAUUUUUUCCCAACUACUCCCUCUUCUCCCGUCCCAAAUGAAAUUGUAAGCUAGGCUCUGGAUCUUCUUAAUAACUGUGCAUGGCAGUGUGGUUCCGUUUGCCCAGUAUUGAAACUUACCUUGUAAGACCCAAUUUACUAAUUGGGUUCUGCCUGCGUAAGACAGACAUCUCCCUUUCCAUCUGGCUAACAUUUUUUCUAUUGGAUUUAUUAACUUCCAACAUGUCGCGUGGGAUUUCUUUCUUCCCUCUAUUGGGAGACCAAGAUAGUUGAUAGGGAGGGAUUUAGUUGGAAAGUUGAGAAUGUUAUGCAGAUAAUGGUCAUUCAUGCAUACUUUUGAGUAGGUUGCCGAGCAUUUUUUCCACUCUUUUCACCAGUUGCAAAUCUAUUAACUUCAAACAAACAUCAUGCAUUUUCUUUCUACCCGUUAUUGGAAGGCCAAGAUAGUAGGAAGUGGUUUGGUUGGGAAAUUAAGUAUAUUAUGUAACUCUUGAUCAUUAGUACGUACAUACUUUAGAGUAGGUUGCUGAACUUUUAUCCUGGUUAACCUCAAGUCCGGAGAACUUGGAAAAGGUAUCCAAAAUGCUUUUGAUAGGCCUCAAGGAUUUGAUGUUAGCCUUGGAAAAAAUUAAGACAUCAUCAGCAUACAUGAGAUGAGAGAUGGAGACAACCCCAUUAACUAUGUAUGUCUCCAUCCUCUUGUCCUUUCUCCUUUUCUAUUAGUCUACUGAGAUUAUCCAUUACCAGAUACUUCACAACAAUUAUGUUCCAAUGAUAUUAGUCUAAUCUGAAUAUCGGAGCAAUCAAAAUAAGAAAAACAAUUAAGACCAGAGAAUAAGAACACGCAAUAUUUUAUAGUUGUUUCACCCAAGAAUAGUGUACCUCCACCUGGUGAUUUCUAUUGAUAGUAGCUAUUCUAUUACACUCGUAGAAAUUGAGAUUAGGUUUUCAGCACUAUAAUAAUAGUAUAUAUAGUGUAAUAUUAACUUGGAUUCCAAAUUAAUGACUCAUAAUUGGCCCAAUAAGGGUACCAAUUAAGUGGUCUCCAAUACCACUUAUAACUCCCAUUAACUGCAUAAACCUUAACAAUCUCCCACUUGGAGACUAUUUGCUACCACCAUCACCAACUCCUUUUCAUCAACGAUCUAGGAGUCCAGCCAAGGCCAUACACAACCUUAGCUUCCCGAUGCUAAUGACUUUAGUGAGCUGUGAGCAUAUUAGUAACAUUCUGAUCUCCUGCUAAUCUUUCUCAGAUCCAAAUCUCCCUUCUCAAUCAGUUUCCUGAUAAAAUGAUAUUUGUGUUUGAUAUGUUUGAUGUGUUUAGACCUGGAAUAAAAUUUAGGAUUCUUGGCCAAAUAAAUUGCACUUUGGCUGUCACAGAACAAAACAAAUUUCUUCUGUCCAAAACCCAAUUCAGUGAGUAACCCUUCCUGCCAAAUCUUCUCCUUAGCUGCCUCUGUCACAGCUACAUAUUCAGCCCAGUAGUUGAGAGUGAAACGUGAUUUUGCAACAUUGAUCUCCAACUCACAACUGUACCCCCAAUACAAAAUAUGUACCCUGAGGUGCUCCUGCUGAUGUCUAGAUUCCCUCCAAGAUCAUAGUCACAACUCACAAUACCCAAUCAAUUCAACUGAUUUCUUUGUGAAACAUAGGCCUACAUUCAGGGAAUUUUGUAAGUACCUCAGAAUCCGCUUGACAGCCUUCCAAUGCUCUUUACCAGGAUUUGACAUGAAUCUACUUACCACUCCCUUGCAUGGAAGAUAUCUGGUCUUGUACAAAUCAUUGCAUACAUCAGACUACCCACAACUGAUGCAUAAGGUAUUGUUUUCAUUUAUUCUUCCUCUUCUACUGUCUUAGGUGACUGGUUCUUGGUCAGCUUCUUGGAUUCUGCACCAAGAGGCAAAUCAGUCCUCAAAUUUCCACACUGAAAUCUGUCCAGUAAUUUCUGCAAAUAUUUUUCUGGUUCAGAUUGAUGCAACCAACAGAUCUAUAAAUUCUCAUCCCUAGAAUUUGCUUAGCUUCUCCUAGGUCCUUCAUUUCAAAUUUCUUGAACAGUUGGGCUUUGAGAAGCUUUAUUUCAGAAAUGUUUGGACUAGCAAUGAGCAUAUCAUCUACAAAGAUGAUCAAAAUUAUAGUAGUUCUUCCAUUCCACCUUUGAUAGCAGCAGUGAUCAGAAUCUGCUCUUUUAAAUUCCAUGGUACUCAUGAAGUUGUCAAACUUCUUAUACCACUGUCUUGGGGCUUGUUUAAAGCUAUAAAGAUUUUGCACCUGUUGAAAACCCUUCACUACCAACCUUGCUUUGUGUUUCUUCUUCCCAUCAACCUCUUCUGUUUUGCAGUGCUUUCUUACCCCUAGGUAAGCUUGUCAGACUCCAAAUGUUAUUCUUCUCCAAAGAUUUUAGUUCCUCCUUGAUGGUUUUUUCCCACUGGAUUGAAUUACCAUCCUUGAGUGCUUCUUUGUAAGAUUCAGGCUCUCCAUCUAUCAACAACAGAAAGUUUAUUGCUGGAGAUGGAUCAAGUCUGACCAAGGUUCCGGAUGUGCGCGCAUAUGCGAUGAUGCGCCCCCAGAGGGAGAUGCGCCGGAUCCGGGUCGGAUCCGGGUAAAAUCCGACCCGGAUCCAGACCUGUUUUAAGUUAUUUAAAUAACUUAAAACAGUGUUUUGUUUUUAUUUUAAAAAAAAUGCCAAAUUUUUUAUUUUAAGACCUUAUAAAUUUUUAGCAUAAAAAUUUAUACAUUGGUCCAUGAAAAGAGCUAUAUUAUUUUUAAUAUGAGCUCCUCCCACUCUUUAGACUUCAUAUUUGUUUUAGACAAAAUGAAUCUUUAUUUAUAGACCAACCUUCUUUGUGUUUUUUGAAUUCUAUCGAUGUGGGACUAAAAAAGUGUGGUUAAAUAAAUUAUUAUUAUAGAGUAUUUUUUAUGUUGUAGGUGUAUUAAAGAAGGCCCAGCCCAGCCCAUUACGUUAUUAUUUUUUAAAAGUCUCUUGGGUUAUUUAUUAUUUUCUUUUUAUAAAAGCCUCUCUUUUAUAAGUUUAAAGAAACCCUAGCCAUUUAUAGAGCUAUAUUAUUACGAAAAUACCCCUAAAUGGUUAACCGGUUUUUUAACCUUGGUGUUACAAUGAAUUAUAGGGUGUUAAAAUAAUUAAUAAAUAUAUGUAUUAUAAUAAUUUUUCUAUCCAAUAUAUUUUUAACUAAAAAAUUUAAUUAAUAUAAUUUAGAUAUAUAAAAAAAUAUUAAUUUCCUAUAGUUUUAUAAAUAUUUACGAAAAUACCACUGGUGCAUCUGAGCGCAUAUACACGCCAUAUGCUCAGAUGCUCCAGGUGGCGGCACAUCGCGCAGAGGCGCAUCCGGAACCUUGAGUCUGACUGGUGGUCUUGAUACUCUAGUUAACCUCCUCACAAAAUGUGAAGUGUGUGAGGAGUCACCAAAGAAUUGUUCUUCUGGAACAACCACUUCAUAAUGGUCUGUUGUUGUUUCUUCCCCAACACAAUCCUCCACCCUAUCCUCAGAGUCCACCUCAUCAGCCACAACCUCUUCACUUACAAUUUGACCCCCUUCAUCUCUGUCAGAUUCACCUUCUUCUUCUGGUAUCAUGUCAUAAAAAUUGGAUUUUACAUUGAUAUCCCCAGAAGUAGUUGCCAUGUGGUUGUAGAGGUCAGAUUCCACAAACAUGAUAUUUUUAGAUCUUACCACCUCAUUGGUUUCAGGAUUCCAACACCUUUAACCAAAUAAAUUUAUACCAAAACCAAGUAGAUACAUCUUUGUAGAUUUUGCAUCUAACUUAUCCCUUUUCUCUUUGAAUUUCAAGACAAAAGUUGCACACCCAAAAAUCUUCAGAUGCUCCAAACUGUCCUCUUUAUCACUCCACACCUCCUGUAGAAUUUUAAAGUCUAGUGGUACUAAUGGUGUCAAAUUAAUCAAGUAGACAGCAGUUGUAACAGCCUCUUCCCAAAAUAUUUUUGGGAAACCAGAGUGCACCAACAUACUUCUUGCUCUCCUACAAAUGGUCUGGUUCAUUCUUUCAGUCAUUCCAUUCUAUUGAGGGGUCCCUUGCAACUGUUCUCUGCCUAAUUAUGCCACUGUCCUCAUAGUAUUUCUUGAUUUCAGAACUAUCAUAUUCCCCUCCAUUGUCUGACCUUAGGCAUUUAUUUUGCAUCCAGAUUGAGUUUCAACCUCUGAUAUCCACUUCUUGAAAACAGAAAAAACAUCAGAUUUAUUUUUGAUGCAAAAAAUCCAUACCUUCCUGCUGUGAUCAUCUAUGAAGGUGGCAAAGUAUCUGGCACCUCCAAGUGACUCCACAAAUGCUGGCCCCCACACAUCUGAGUGAAUAAGCUCUAAAUUCUGAUUCUUUGUAGACUUCUUCUUCUUCAGAAAUUUUACAGCCUUUUGCUUGCCAUAGAUGCAUUCCUCACAAACACCUAAGUUAAUUGAUUUUAACUUAGGGAAUUUUCCUGCUGCCUGUAACAAUUUCAGACCCUUCUCACUGAUGUAUCCCAUCCUUCUAUGCCAAAGAGUGGCAUCAACAUCCUUUGUUACAGUAACAAUCACUCUAUCUUCUACAAAAGAAGGAACAAGAUAGAGAGUUCCUGUUUUGGAACCUUUGGCAACUGCUCUCACACCUUUGCCACCUUCCAAGAAUUUUCAGAAAAUGUGGAGUGGUAACCUUCUUUGUCCAGCUGACUGACUGAAAUUAGUUGCCUGGGCAGACCUGGGAUAUAUUUUACUUCUUUUAAAAUCCAAGGACCAAGUCCAGUCCUUUAAUGCAUGGUGAAGAUAGCUCGUUAGAUGAUCCCGAAGCUAUGAAAACAGAUCGACUGAGAGAUGAAGUUUUGAACGAUGCCAAGAUCUGUCUUCAGAAGGCUAGUGUAAGGAUGAAGUCAGCUGAUUUGAGUAGGGAAAAGCAAAUCUACAAGGUUAGAGACAUGGUCUUGGUCAAAUUAAAAAGAUAUCGGCAAGGUACUGCAGCACAGAGGAAAUCGAACAAGCUUGAGAGGCGGUACUUUGAGCCGUUUACCAUUACAGAAAAGAUAAAUGAGGUAACCAUUCGUUUGGGGUUCCUAACAGAGGUAAAAAUCCACAACGUAUUCCACUCUUCAUUGUUUAAGUCAUCCGUUGAAGGAGAUGACGAGAUCUCGAUGGAGCUACCAGAUGACUUAGUCGAGUCCGAGGACGUUCUCAAAGCUAAGGGGACGGAAGAUGAUAUAUCCGUGCUCCCGGCGAAACGUUGGCGAUACACUCAGGCGGCCCAUGCAGAUUAUGUUGUCGAUUAUGGAGUCGACACGUAACUGCAGAAGAAACCCUAGUGUUGAUUUAUUAUAAUAAUUGUUACAUGAAGGAUGAUUCUAUAAAAUCAUCCAUGCACGUACAGUCGUACACUACAUGUAAUACUACUAAUAAUAGAUACUACUAAUAAUUGAGUACCAUGAUAGCCACUACACCCAUGCGUGUAUCCCCUUGUUCCAACGCACAUGGAGUGAAUCUAUACUUAGUAAACUCUUAUUUUUAUUAAUAAGGCAAUUGUUGAGUAUCAAUUAUUUUCGUUGAUAUUUCGUUAUUUGCUUCUAAUUUUUUGUUAUUUUUCUACCGUCAAUCAUCCAAACCCCAUCAGUCACUAACAUCUUGAAUAUCUUAAUACUGCUGAAGAUAUAAACAGUUGACCAAAAGAACUCUUCACAGAACUACAGAAGAUUGCAAAGCAUAAUUAAAUCUUUAUGUAGAAUUUGUAGUAACUAGUAAGUGAAAAAUAUAAUGGACAAAAGUUGUUAAUAUUAUGACAGCAUGGCUUAUGAUGAAUGCAGUUUGAUCCAAGUCAUCCAACACAAGAGUGAUAAGUUGAUUAUGUUCUGUUAAAUCACAAUUCUUAAUAGCGUGAUGCUAAUAAUGUUCUCAAAAGUUAUAUAUCGAAAACCUCUUACCUCAUCUUCCUUUAAAAAUUCAAAUCAUAUUGCAUUUUCCAAACUAAUGAGUAUCCAGUUGGUACCUAAACCCCUAAAAAAUUAUCAACAACAAAAAAGUAUUAAAACUACAAAUUUAGACUACGAUCCACCGGUAUUAUAAAAUUAGACAUUGACUAUAAAAUCGUAACCAGUCAUGCGGAAAACCCUAGAAAUAAAGCCAAAAGAGAUUUAUCAUCUGACAUCGAAGAUGACAGUCCAUCGAUCCCUGGGAAGAGUCGGAAAAGGUGAAAAAAAUACGAUUCGAUUAUCGGAAAUAGAAACAAACCUCGCCGAGUUGCUGCCGGUGAAAGAACCUUCCACACCACACAGUUCCACUCGAUUCGAUUGUCGGUGUCUUCUAUCGUUAAAUAAUCCGAAACAUUCUGUUAAACGAAUGUAUUCGAAUAUUCUAUUCUUCCUUCCAUCAGACAUUUUAUUUAUUUUGGGUUAAUUACACAAAUAUUU